Molecule: long non-coding RNA, 365 nt
Filed under: Marmota monax (woodchuck)
Lineage: Eukaryota; Metazoa; Chordata; Mammalia; Rodentia; Sciuridae
Source: RNAcentral
UUAUUCUAAAAAUAACUUAUUCAUUAUUUGGUUACACUGUACUUGUAAAAGAAGAACAGAGCAAAUGCAUGAUUCUUUCACAUUCCUGAAAAGGUGAGGUCAGCUUAAAUUUGUUUAUUUUGGUAUCAUUAUGAACUCAUGGAUUAAUUUUUUUUUGGUACUGGGCAUUGAACCCAGGGGCACUUUAACAACUGUGCUACAUCCCUAGACCUUUUUAUUUUUUAUUUUGAGAUAGAGUCUCACUAAGUUGCUGACACUGCCCUUGAACUUGUGAUCUUCCUGCCUCAGCUUCCUGAGGUGCUAGGAUUAUAGUCAGGUGCUCCCACAGCCUGCCAAACUCGUGAAUUCUUAACAUUUGAUGUUUC